Molecule: ribosomal RNA, 253 nt
Filed under: uncultured bacterium
Lineage: Bacteria
Description: partial 16S ribosomal RNA
Rfam family: Bacterial small subunit ribosomal RNA
Source: RNAcentral
UACGUAGGAGGCGAGCGUUGUCCGGAAUUACUGGGUGUAAAGCGCGCGUAGGUGGCAGGCCAAGUCUGUGGUGAAAUCGCCCGGCUCAACUGGGCGGAGUCCGUGGAAACUGGUCAGCUGGAGGACGGUAGAGGCGAGUGGAAUUCCCGGUGUAGUGGUGAAAUGCGUAGAGAUCGGGAGGAACACCAGUGGCGAAGGCGGCUCGCUGGGCCGGUCCUGACACUGAGGCGCGAAGGCGUGGGGAGCGAACGGG